Molecule: long non-coding RNA, 1165 nt
Organism: Panicum hallii
Lineage: Eukaryota; Viridiplantae; Streptophyta; Magnoliopsida; Poales; Poaceae
Exons: 3
Source: RefSeq, a predicted model, not a curated record
CCCAAACCUAACCCAUUGUCCCCUCCCCACACCCACACACGUGGCGGCGGCAGGAUCCGCAGGCGCGGUGGCGGGACCCUAGGCGGCGCGGCGGCGGGAGUGGCGACAACGUGAUGCUCAGGAGGCGCAGAUGGCGGCGGGGUGAUCCAGGCGGCGCGCCCUCAUUCGCGCCCACUCCUUCGCCCUCUGGAUCCCCAGGCGCCCCCAGCGGCUGGCCGACCCGGGAGCGCGGUGCGCCCUAGCGGUGCGAACCGGCUGGCGUGCGCACGCUUUGCGGCUCCGGGCUCUCCCAGCGGAGCGAGGGCGGCUGGCCCGACCGGGUGGGAGCGCGGCUCGGGCGCCCCCAGCGAGCGAGCGCUGCUUGCCCGACCGGGCGGGAGCACCCGAGAUCCACAGCCGGGGAUCCGCAGCACCGCUCCCCUACGCGCCUAGCCCUCCCUCCCCUACGGUUCCUCGACGAGCGCGCCGUGCUCCAGGGUGUAAAUGCCAAGGGUUAAAAUCAAAGGCAAUCUUCCUAAAAGCAUCAAAGUAACAUCAAGGUAUAUCUCAAGUAAACACCAAUUCUUCCUGAUAUGGGGUCAUCCUACCGCCCUGCUUGCGGUAUAUCUCAAGUAAUCCCGUAAUACUUACAAAUAUCAGUGGUCCCUCAAUACCCCAGCGAUACUUGCAUAUUUUUCAGUAAUUCUCUGUAACCCAGUAGUAGUAUGUAGCAUUUAAGUUAUCUGAGUAAAGCAGUAACCUAGUAAUUCAGUAUCCUGCCGGUCUCACUCUGUUUUUCUCAGUGACCUUUUUCAGAGUUCUCAAUGACACCCCUUUCCGACUCAUCGUCUCAUGCAUAUGACAGUGAUAGUACUGAACUUCACAAGGGAGAGGGUUCCAAGUGAAGAGAAAGAUACUUCAUGUGUUUUUUGAAGGCUUUUUUUUAUUUUGGAAGCUGCAUGAGAUAGUUAAUCGCAACUAAUGUGUACAUAUGCAUAAUCACCGCCCAACUAUAUGUAUAUCAUUGGAUUCAGUAAUCCAGUAAUUAUGUACAUGUACUAUUCAGUAUUAUGUACUUUUUUCCAGUAAUUUCUCAGGUUUUUGGUGAAUUGUUUUUCCAGUAACACACCAUGUACAUGCUCGGAUUCAGUAAUAGGGAGAUCCAGUUAUUCAGUAUUUUCUUUUA